CGCGCGGUAGAGCAGCGGCCAGCUCGCCGGGCCCAUAACCAGGAGGUCGGUGGUUCGAAUCCACCCCGCGUUA
RNAcentral lists this transfer RNA (73 nucleotides) under Taibaiella sp. RNAcentral describes it as "tRNA-Met". It matches the Rfam family "tRNA". Rfam says of the family: Transfer RNA (tRNA) molecules are approximately 80 nucleotides in length. Their secondary structure includes four short double-helical elements and three loops (D, anti-codon, and T loops). Lineage: Bacteria; Pseudomonadati; Bacteroidota; Chitinophagia; Chitinophagales; Chitinophagaceae. The record is from RNAcentral.